RNAcentral lists this ribosomal RNA (253 nucleotides) under uncultured bacterium. Its description in RNAcentral is "partial 16S ribosomal RNA". It matches the Rfam family "Bacterial small subunit ribosomal RNA", at positions 524 to 776 of the family's 1533-position model. The record is from RNAcentral.
UACGUAGGGGGCUAGCGUUGUCCGGAAUCAUUGGGCGUAAAGAGCGCGUAGGCGGCCAGAUAAGUCCGGCGUGAAAGUCAAAGGCUCAACCUUUGAAUGCCGCUGGAAACUGUCUGGCUAGAGUCCGGGAGGGGCGAGUGGAAUUCCUGGUGUAGCGGUGAAAUGCGCAGAUAUCAGGAGGAACACCAAUGGCGAAGGCAGCUCGCUGGAACGGUACUGACGCUGAGGCGCGAAAGCGUGGGGAGCGAACAGG